GUGAAUGUGCGUGUGACUACGACCGCGGCACGACGGCGGAUCAGGACGCCGCCGGGAGCAGCAGCAGCAGGAACCCUGACGCCUCGGCACAGUCGCCGCGACGCCACAGCAAAGCUGACCGCCGCCAAGCCGGUGGCCUGCGCGAGAGCCGGGCCCUGGCGGCCGGCGGCUGGUGCGGUGGCCCCUGGUCGUCGCCCCCUGCGAGUCCGCUCUGGCUGGCCACCGACGGAUCCACAGCGAGGCGCUGCAGGGCGGACGCCGGCGCCGGCAUCAGCGACACUCGUGCUGGCCAUCCGAAGCAACAGCGUACCACGGCUUAAGAUCCGCACCACUAGGAGAUCUCCACAUUCUGCAAGGAACUAUGAAUCCAGUCGGGACUCGUCUGAAUCCGCCAG
Dermacentor silvarum is the source of this 395-nucleotide long non-coding RNA. RefSeq lists it as uncharacterized. The record is from RefSeq and is a predicted model, not a curated record. Lineage: Eukaryota; Metazoa; Arthropoda; Arachnida; Ixodida; Ixodidae. The transcript has 4 exons.